AGGAUGAACGCUGGCGGCGUGCUUAAGACAUGCAAGUCGAACGAAAUCCUUGUAGCAAUACGGGGGUUGAGUGGCGAAUGGGUGCGUAACAUGUAGGUGACCUGCCCUGAAGCGGGGAAUAACAGUUCGAAAGGACUGCUAAUACCGCAUGUGGUUGUGGUCUUUUUGAAAGCCACAACGAAAGGUCUCCGUAAGGAGAUCACUUCAGGAGGGGCCUGCGGCCCAUCAGCUAGUUGGUAGGGUAACGGCCUACCAAGGCAACGACGGGUAGGGGACCUGAGAGGGUGACCCCCCACACUGGCACUGACACACGGGCCAGACUCCUACGGGAGGCAGCAGUCGGGAAUAUUGCCCAAUGGUCGCAAGACUGAGGCAGCAACGCCGCGUGCGCGAUGAAGGCCUUCGGGUCGUAAAGCGCUUUUCGGGUGGAUGAGGAGGACAGUACACCCGGAAUAAGGACGGCUAACUACGUGCCAGCAGCCGC
Molecule: ribosomal RNA, 484 nt
Filed under: uncultured bacterium
Lineage: Bacteria
Description: SSU rRNA
Rfam family: Bacterial small subunit ribosomal RNA
Source: RNAcentral